This is an RNA transcript of Cuculus canorus (common cuckoo), 10415 nucleotides long. It is a transcript of the gene named solute carrier family 38 member 11, with no coding region annotated. The record is from RefSeq and is a predicted model, not a curated record. The transcript is spliced from 14 exons. Lineage: Eukaryota; Metazoa; Chordata; Aves; Cuculiformes; Cuculidae.
UCUCGCAGCGCGCGGAGCUCGGCGCUGCCGCCUGUACGUCCCCGCGGCGAUGGAGCCGCAGCCGCCCCCGGCCGCCGCCCGACAGGUAGAAACGGAUGACCAAACAGCAUUAGUUAGUAAGCCCAGGAAUAAAGGAGGAAAUGGUAAUCUGGCAUCGGCUGCUUUUAACAUUAUCAACUCUAUCAUAGGAUCGGGUGUUAUAGGAUUGCCAUAUUCAAUGAAGGAAGCUGGUUUUCCACUAGGGGUACUCCUGUUACUUGUGGUUGCCUGUAUCACAGAUUAUUCCAUUAUAUUACUGAUCAAAGGAGGAAACCUUUCCGGUACCAACAGCUAUCAAGAGCUGGUCAGAAAAACAUAUGGUCUUGUAGGUUAUCUAAUUCUUUCAACUCUUCAAUUUUUAUAUCCAUUUAUUGCUAUGAUUAGCUACAACAUAAUAACAGGAGACACUUUAACUAAAGUUUUUCAGAGAAUUCCUGGAGUUGCACCAGAUAGUGUGCUUGCUGACCGUCACUUCAUAAUUCUUCUUACCACCGUCAUCUUUACCUUGCCUUUAUCUUUAUAUCGAGACAUAGCAAAACUGGGAAAGGUUUCUCUCAGUUCUCUGAUUUUAAAUGUUGUCAUCCUGGUGAUUGUGAUGGUGAGAACAGUAACAUUCAGUCCGCAAGUACCCAAAUCAGAAAAUGCAUGGGUAUUUGCAAAACCAAAUGCAGUACAAGCUGUUGGGGUGAUGUCAUUUGCAUUCAUCUGCAACCAUAACAGCUUUUUAGUAUAUGGGUCUCUGGAAGAACCCACAUUAAAGAACUGGUCUCGAGUCACACAUGUGUCUGCGUCAUUCGCUGCUGUUAUCAGUGUAGUGUUUGCUGCAUGUGGAUAUAUGACUUUUACAGGAUACACAGAAGGAGAUAUAUUUGAAAACUACUGUAGAGAUGACAACCUUGCUACAUUUGGAAGGUUUUGUUAUGGAGUUACUGUAAUUCUGACCUUCCCGCUUGAAUGUUUUGUGACCAGAGAGGUGAUUGCCAAUGUGUUUUUCCAUGGGAACCUCUCAACAGUCUUCCAUGUUAUUGUGACAGUAGUUAUCGUUGCUGUGGCGACUGGUGUAUCAUUAGUGUACGAUUGCCUUGGAAUAGUUUUAGAGCUGAAUGGAGUUCUGAGUGCUACCCCACUUGUUUUUAUCAUCCCAACAACGUGCUAUCUAAGGCUGUCCAAGGAGCGAUGGAACCAUUCAGAUAACCUCAUAUCCUGCCUGAUUCUUGCUGUCGGUGUGCUAGUGAUGACAGUUGGGUUUGUUUUGACUAUCUUGCAUCCCCAGGAAUGUAGCCAUGGAAAAGAAAUGUUCUACUGCUUCCCUAGUAAUAUUUCUUUUCAGAACAUUACACUUCCACCAUAGGUAGCACACCAAUCUCAAGACUAGAUCAGGAGGUCUGAAUACAGAAGGAAGGACCUUGUUAUUUCAUAAUAAAAAUUGUGAUAGUGUUUUUUGGAAACAGUUAAGACUCCCAAAAGCAAUCAUCAAAAGCAAUACAGAAGACAUUUAAGGAUAUAAAAAUAAAGUUGCUAUAAAUAUGGCAAUAGCUUUGUAAAAUCUAGUGGGAUGCUCUCACUGGCCUCGGCAUGUGCAAGGAUCUCAGCACUACCAUAGUUCUUCAAGCAGAGGUAUGCUGUGCACAGAAGUGGAAGGAGUGCUGGAAGCAGCAAUAUCUCCAACUCCAAAUGCUCUGUGUUGACAGGACUUCAUGGAGUCCAGGGGGAGCGAGAGCAGCAAUGUUCCACAAGUACUUGCUGACAGGUUUUUCAAAUCAAAAGCUGGUAAUGUGACUCACUGUUUCUUCCAAGUUCCUCUCUCCAGCUGAGAAGGCAGUUCAGGACACCAGAUGUACAACUGCCAUUCUUACAGGAGCUAAAUGGGCAGUUUCUAACUUUCUAGAGCAGUGUGCCUCUUAUUAAUAAUAGACUUCAGCAUAUUCACAAAAUAUUGUCAGAUGAGCAAAUCCCAUGUACCACCAUAGACUCUCUAGAGAAUUUUCCUUCCUUCUCAAGCUUCUCAGUGGAAGGGGGGCAGAAUGGCUCAGGUUUGCUGAAUGGACAUAAUUCUAUAUAUUUUUCACUCACAAAUUUCUUUAUAUUUUAUAUCACAUACAUUAUUUGGGUAUGAUGUAGAAAGGUUAUUUAUGUGCUUAGUAUAUAAACGAGUAUUUGUGACUUGGUAGCAAAUAAAAAUUUAAGGUAGUAUGAGAAUUUAUUUGGACUGUCUGGUGUGAAUGCUGAAUAGGAGUUAGGCAGAAAGACAAAGAAUGUGGCAGACUAAACUAUUGUGAAUGUAAAACAUGAGAUUGAACACAUUCCCAUAGUAGGAAGGAGGGAAAAAUAAAAAAAACCCAAAACAUAAUGCACAGAAGGUUUAUGUUUUUACAGUAGUUCUUUUACAUGGAGAUCUAAUUUUAAAAAGCAAUUAUUGAGUUUCAGCCUAGGAACUAUGUUGCAAUAUUUGUUAUUUGGAUCUUUUUAGAAUUGGCAUGAACCAUACAAAGUAGAGGAUUUGAAGUUAGGCCAGUGGAAGAAAUAAGUAGAAGCUUUCCAGUUUCUGUUAUUCAAUGCUAUGGGAGAAGAUGAGGUUCAGGUACAUGCUUUGUACAAAUUCAAUGUUUGACUCAAAGCUAUUCAUGGAAAGAAAUUAAAUUGUUUGAUUAUUCCUCUUUCUUUUUGUUUUUCUGUUCCCUUCGAGCUAAAUGUUGGUUCUAGGUGGUUUGUAAGACCAUAUGGAAAAAGCCAUAGCUGCUGUAUAGUAUUCCAAAAUCACAUGCAGCAGGAAUUCAAGAAAAACUUCAGGAAGGUCUGAAUUUUCAUGUGUGAUUUCCUAAAGGAGACAGUGGCCCCUAAACACUGGAAAUGCCCGAUAAGAUUCGUGGACUUGAUGAAUUCAUACAAAUACUGAAGUAAUGAGCUGAAGACAAAGUUAGAAACUAAGUGAAAAUAACUCUGUAGAAAUAAAUUACAGAUGUAAUUCUGUAAAACCUGUAUUGAUGAUGCAAAUCAGCUUUCAAUGGGAAGUUUGUGUCUGCCAGAAGCAGACAGCUGUAGCAAGCAGACAGCUCUGUACUGAAACAAUUCCACAGGACCUGCUCUAGUUACCUCCUAAUAGGAGGUUCCUUUGACUCUUCAGCAAUGCCCUUUGUUGGAUGGUGGCGGAAAAGCUGACAGUGGUGACAUUGCUGUCUUGCCAAGGCUGACUGACUGAGGUUUUGUGGAGUAUGUCAUAUGCAUCCCUCAUGACUUUUGGUUUUAAAGGCAGGGGCUAUCUUAUUUUUUUUUCUGUGUUCAUAUACUGCUUAGCGCAGUGGCUUUUGAUUGAUGGCGGGGCCCCCUGGGUACUGUAGUAACAUAAGCAGUAAUUAUUAUACUUUGGCCAUAUUGUGCUAUUUCUCUACGGUUAUAUUUUGUUCCUGUCAUGAACAAGUAACGUACAUAUGUCACUGGUUGAUGGAGGAUCCCUUUACUUUUAUUUUUUAGUCCAAAUAUUUUUUGGGAAGGAAGGCUUGGAGGAUGUCUUCAUGCUUGAUUUACUGCGUUUUGUGGCUCUUCUGAUAAGGACAGCAGUGUCAAAUACCUUAUUUAUGUAGCCAGAGUGGUUAGUAGUUAUUCUAUUUUUUGUAGUGCUGCAUGAAAACUCUUGUGAAAAAGCAGUACCCUGCCUGUAACACAAAAUAUGUUCAAUACGGGGCAGUCCUGACCCUCUUGGAACUUACAUUAGUUCAUCAAAGGAGGCAUGACUGGAGUCAUGUGACAAUGGAUGCAGCGACAGCUGUCUGAUUUUGACCUUCUUCGAUAUCAAUUAAUUUGGAAAGAUAAUUUUGAGAGCAAAAGACAAGUAUUUUAUUUCAGAGCCAAAACUGACUGCUUGGGUAAAAUCGAAAUUAAUAAGAUAGACCUUAGAGGGAAAAAAAAGUUACAUUAUUAUGGUGACUUACAUUUAAAACUCUUCCUUUAUACUGAGCACUGUUUUUUUUCCUUUCAUCCUACCUUUAUAUAUAAUAGAAAAUAAAUGUGUCUAAUGAACUUCAGCAGGUUAAGUUUCAAGCUCUUUCCUAUCAUCUUGCAAGAGAUAUGUUUAGCUGGGAAGAGGCAAAUAACAAAUAUCUGCCUGUGCUGUUUGAUUGAAGAAGUCACUUGACUAGGCACUAACAUAAGAAAAAAACCAACCUGGUAAAGAGAUGAUUAAAUGUGAGCAUAUUUAAGCAAUGUUCAAGUCACAUAAAUUCACUUCUGCUCAUUUGCUCCUUCUCUUUCCAUCUUUUCUCUGUUUUAUUUUUUCACAGGAAAGAUUGUCUGUCUUUUGUAUUGGGUCCUUUUAGAUACCUGCUCAGUGCUCUGAUAUGUGAAGCACAUAGAUAGAUGGAAGUCUUCUAUCUAUUUUCCUUUACAUUAAAAUUCUCAGCGUGGGCCUACUACAGAAUAAUUCGGAAUAAUAGAUGUCUUAAAAUAACAUGAGUUUUCACAGGAUUGUUAUUACUUUCCCAGGACUCUGUAGCUAGCUGUCUUCCAGAGAAGAGAUAAUUCCCUAAAAUUAAAUUUUCAAGGAGAUAAGAUAUAAGACCAUACCAUAACACAGUGUUUUAUAGCAUUUUAAAUUAGCAGCAUGCUGUAUGCUGGCACAAAGCAUUUGUAGCAGUGCUAGUCUGACUGCAGUGUGAGACAAAUGAUAUCCUAGACUCUAUUAAUACAUUUAACAGCAUAUAUUAAUUUUUUUCCCAUCUAAUGACUGGGCAGUGGAAUAAAAAAACCAGAUUAUUUAUGCCAGUAAGGCAGUAAUUUCUAAACUAAACAAAAAAAGAUUAUGGUAUAGCCCAUUUUGUGCAGAAAUCUAGUUAUCAAAGAACAGUUUCUAGUAUGCUGGUACUUCCAGAGACUUCAUAAACCAUCAUGAGGCCUUACUGGAGAGGUGAGAUAGGUGGGAAGUUACCCAGUUAUCAUAGGAUAAUUGACAUUUUCAGUCUUUCAGGAAUCUGACGGAAUUUAAUUCUGGUUUUAUAAAAGAAGGGUAGGUCUCAGUAGCAAAAUGCAAAUUUAUAAUUGGUGGCAUAUCAAAUCAUUGCUGAUGGGCUCUGUUAGGCUUGUCCCAACUAUGGGAAAAUCAUUUGGAUGCAGUGGUCUUAAGCCAGUAUAUUGGAGAGAGGAAGGGGAGCUAGACUCUAGAGAUGUGAGGCACCACUGAUUUUCUUAAUUCAGAUUCAAAGACAAAAGCAGUGGAAGCAAUAAUUUCUUACUCAUAAUUCCUCCUUUCAGCCUUGUGUUCUCAAUCUAUUGCAUUACGUUGUUUACAGGGCACUGUAAUAGGAAAAGACCAUGAAAGUGAGUAAGCUGGAUCGGUAUUCUAACUUUAUAGGUAGCAUAGAGACCAGAGUGAGAGAAGCUUUAACAGAGAAUGGUUAGCUGUCAAUCCUGCAGGUGCACUGAAGAUGCAUGCUUCAAGAACUGCUCGUUGUGAAAGGACACACAAUGACAAGACCAAGGAAGCUUGUUAUUUUAAAUUAAGAACUGAUAAUUUUAUCUAUUUUCUGCAAAUAUCCAAUCUUGUAUAGCCUAGGAAUAUCAGUGGUAAAGAUGCUAACAAUUCUGCUUGCUGUGAACAAAUACAAGGUUUCUGGAAUUGAGUUAUUCACUUCUGUCUACUCUGAAGUCCACGUGACUGUUGACUAAAAAAUAAGGGAAAUGCAGAAUGAUGCGAGGAAACCUGAAUCUAGUCUUUCACUUUGGUGGCAUCUGCUGUGUUACUAAAUGUCAGCUGAAGCAGGAAAACAAUAUAAACAUUUAAAAUGCAAGUAAUCCGUACUAGAUAAGAAUACUGUUUUCUCAAAUACAGACAUAACUCAGUCUGUAACAGUAAAGAACUGUGGACUUCUUACAGCAGAAUUAGGUCUAAAAGAUUACCUCAGUUUUGUUGCAUGCUGCUUUGUAUGAUUAAUGUCUGAUAGUCUGUUCCCACCUUCUUUUAUUAGGUUGUAGUUCUUCCUUAGAUGGACAUUCUACUGUAAUUUUUUCCUUGGAAGACUGUCAAACUUGUAGGGGCCUUCCAAGAGGGUUUAUAUCUUGGAACCAAAGCAGGAUGCAACAAGAAAAACAUCCUGAAACUCACGGGGCAUCAAAAGAGGGGCCUCCUAGAACUGAGGAAGGAACUUCACUGAAAAUUUGCAAAUACUCCCAAGUGAUGGUUAAUGCUUACAAAACUAGAGCAAAAAAACACUUAACAUUGUGCUUGUUGUACUAUAGUUAGAUAUGAGCUGGGAACUCACUUGGAACUCUUGUUGGUAACAUCAGUAUUUUAACAAGGUAAACUGUGUUUCAUUGGACUGUAUUUUUAAGUUGUUGAGAUGUAAGAAUGUCUUACAUGUAGUUAUUGCUUAUGAUGAGACUUAGUAACUUGUGCAACAGGUUCUAGCUAUAAUAGGUGGGAUGGUGCCAAUGUGGAACUGUAAAAUAACAGAUCCUGUGCAUCAGCAUGUCACUAUGUGCUAGACAGAGUAUUGUGGGGCUGGUACAAGUUUAUGAAGUAUAUUACUGUGACGCAAGAGAAAGAAGUUGUUAGUGUGAAAAGUUGAAGAGAACUAGAUAUAACCAGGCAACUAGAUAUACUGUUGUGUUAAAAUUUUUAAUUAAUUUUCUUUCUCUGUGGAACAAUGAUGAAUAAAAAAGUUGUUUAUGUGUUUUCCUUGUAGUAUACCUACCCUUUUAGAAAAAAUAGAAUAAAACAAAACAGACCUUUAAACUGCUGUUUUGCAAAUGUGAACAUAAUAUUUUAAUUGGAAUAUUAAGGGAAUUGCAGAAACAUUUCUAUUUAUGUUAUUCCAGGAUCCUCACUUCUGGUCUUUCAAUAUUCUUGUAAAUGAAACUGUAUCAAAUGUGCUUGGGAUUCCUGCAAACUGCAAACGGUUAUUAAGAAUUCAUUACACUUUCUCUUUUUAGGACCACCUUGAUCCAGACUAACAACUCGGAUUUUUUCUCCUGUAUGUUAGUGCUCCUUAAAGUAUUAAGCGUAUUUCAAUACUGAAAAGACUCCAUUAAUGAACAGUGGCCUUCUGCAUGCUCUUUUACAUGGGUUUAAAUUUUUGUCAACCUCCACAGGGCUCCAAAGUCUCAAUCCUGAACAUACAUUGUUAACUGAAGAUGGAGAAACAGUCCUUUUUACCUCAACAUGUAAAAAAGUUUUAAGUGUUUGUUGGAAUGUUGUGGGAAUCACAGUUUUACUCUGACAAAAGUCUACUGUGCAAUAUUGAUCAUUACACAGAAUAUACCCAGAUGGACUACAGCAUUCUAAGCAGUAGGCAAAGCAGUUCUGGAAUAUGAAUAGAUUAAUUCAAGUGAUUCAAUUGAUAAUUUUAGUGACUAAUCAAUAAUUCAGUAUUAAAAGUAAUUAAAUAACCAUUCAGUGUAUUAACAGACCAGCAUUUUAUAUCCGGCCCUUGAGUACUGUACCUUCAGUUUGAUGCUGAAACUAAUUUUUAUUUAAAUUAAUUGAUAUUUUCAAAGUACCUUAGUUCAUUAUGUGUGUGUAUGGUAUUUUAAGUAUAUUUGCCAGAAGUGUGGGAAGAAAGUGGCAAGAUUCAAAUGCUGUCUUCUAUACUGAACAUAGCAAGGCAGUUCAAUCUGGAAACAAAUUUAGUAUCUGCAACAGAAAGCAAAUAUAGUUUUCUUAUGUUACAAAAGAUUUUAGUAAUGGCAAAAUUAAACAAAUAUUUAUUUAGUGUUCUAGGGAGAAGGAGAAAAUAAUAAGGCUACAAGUUUUCUAGGGGUUAACGAUGUUGGAAUCCAGGUUCCUGAUAUGGGACCUUAUAAUCUUGGCCUAGAGGAAAUGUUAGGUCUUGCUUUUUCUGGAACAGAGUAAGGAGAAAGACAAGAAAAGCAGAUGGCAUUGUAUUGCGAGGAGCAAGAGGCAAGCAAGAAGCGAUCAUGAUUUUAUACUCGAGAGUGAGAUUCUGUCUUCGUAGAUUUCUCUACAACUUUUUCCAGUAGUAUCUGAAAAUCUGCAAGAAAUAAAAGAUGGCAGUGAUCUCUCUUCUUGCUGACAAGAGUUGAGGUAGGGGUGGCAUAUGAUGCAUUAAAAGAAAAACAGUGGCCAAGCUCUUUCAUUUUCAGCAUACUUUAUACUGUUUAGACUUAAAAACAUCACUGUGACAGGCUCAUCUUAACCUAUGUUAUCUGUAGAACAGCUAUUUUAACCUUUCCAACGCAUCUCCUCUACAGCCGUCCAUUAUUACAUGCAUUCUCUUAUUUCCUCUGUUAUGACAAUGAGUCUUGGGAACUUUUAAUUAAUAUGUAACAAAUUUAGUAUAAGUCAAUACAGACCUGAUACCUAUCUAGAUGGUGUCAGUUGAGAAAUUUGGUGGUUGUUUUAGAAGCAGACCAGCAGAUGGUGCUCAAAAAUUAAUCACAGCAUAACUGAGCUGUGAUAGCGUUCAUUUAUUUUUCUUUUUUAUUCUUUAUAGAAUAGUUAUUAUGCAUUUCUUAAUUAAAUGGAUAUGUCAGUAAGGAUGGCAGAACUGAAUACCCAAGAAUUUUCAAAAAUCAGUGUCUGAAUCCUUUUUAGUUUUCUUCUAGCCAUAAUUGUUGGGUUUAAUUUCAUUUAUCUUAAUAUAUUGUGUAAUUUCAUUUCAAGUGUUAACAGUUUUAAGAUAAAACACUAGCUUUUUCCUCCUAAUCAGACUGAGAUGGUUUGCCUUGAAGAUUUAAAAAUAAUUUGUGAUGAUAUUUGGAGGAGUGAUGGAAGCUGCAGUUGAUUGUUAUUAUAUUAAAAAAUAUAUAUAUAAAAAAUCCCUGCCUGAACUGAAGUUGCAAAGGUGUACCAGUAAUCUUAAGAGCCUUGAGAAUUUUGUACAAACUAUAUUAACCAUAAAGCCUUCUGCAAAUCAGAAAAUUCAAUGUUGAUUUCAUAAUCACAAAGCAAGCAGUGGCGUGUGUUAAAAUGCAGUAAACUUAACAUGCUCUGUCAUCCUGUUAAGCCUUCAUCUGAAGGCUGUGACAACCUGUUGACGUGCUACAUUCUAGAUGCUGUGAAUGGUAUGCCCAGGUACUUUGAAAGCUGGCAGCUUUACAGGCCCUGCUUUCUUGGAUAUUUCGCUUGCAGACACCUUGAUGAAUACCCACUUCGGUUCAUGCAAGGAAAAAGAAACCUAGCUUGGGAGCUUGGGUAAACCCCACCCAAGGUGUAUAGUUUGUUUUCAAUUAAAUGUAUUGGCAAGUUAAUGAUCUGCUUCAUCUGACUAGUAAAAGCUUAACAUUGGCAGUAACUGCCUUGAGGUGGCUGUACUGGAAAGAAGAGAGGGAUUUGACAAAGAAUGAAAAAUAUGACAUGUUAUAACGGCGAUGGCAUUUUGUGAAAGGAGGCUGAUUUAGAUUAGUCUUUGGCAGAACAGGGAUGCAUACAGUGCUAGCUGGCGUGUUAGUGGGGACAGCUACAGAGCUCCCGAUUGAUGUAAGAAGUAUAUAGCAAGUAACAAAUUUUGGGUUACAUAAAAUCCUGGAAACUGCAUGUAGAGUAUGCACUGCAGUGGAGUUUAGGAAGUAGAAAUUAAAUGUAUGCAUACACAUAAACAAAACAAAAAUAAACUCACCCUUACCUUCUUGGGAAAGAAGGAAAUGCAAUUUAGAAACAGGAAAAACUUACAAACCAUGUAAUUUACACAACAUGCAAAUAAACCAAGGUACUGGUCUUCAUCUCUUUAAACUUUCCGUUAGUGUUUCAAUAGACGCAUCAGGGGAAAAAAGUAUAAGUUUUAUCUGCUCUCUGUUAGGUUGCAUGUAAAAGGAGAGGCAUUAAUACAGGAGCUUUAAAAAGCAUUUUCAAAUAAUCACAGCUCAUAGUUGCUCUGUAUAAUCCUCAGUGCUCGGCACGCCUGCAGCAUCCACAAGAAGCAUGUCUCUGUUAGCUUUGCUGCUGUAGACUACUGAGAUUGGUGCAUUUCCAGCAGAAAAAAGAAAUUACUAAAAUGUAAUUCAGGAAUCCAUUCAAAACUGUGUAAGUGUACAGACACUGUGAUUUUCAUGGAUGUUAAAUUUGACUUAAGAUCUUUGAUAGACUGAGAAUUAAUCGGGCUGCCCAGCAAGUCCAAAGCAGCGUAUAUGGAGACUGACUGACUUUCAUGUAUGCUGUAGGCAUGAACUGAAAAAUAAAGGUAUUUUUGUAACUGUCAGUGUCACGAUAAUCCAGUUUGGAAGUUAUGUAUGCUGUGAUGUACCUUUUAACUCAAAGCUCAUCAAACAGUUUUCUGCUCCUCAAUUCUUAUUCUGCUGGCAGCUUAGGCUUAUGUGUGUAGAACACCUUUCUUUGCUUUCUCAAAUAUAGGAAUGAAGUCAUUUGUUUAUGUUUUUAGUGAACAGACAAGCAUGAUAAUGGCAUAUAUUGAUUUUGUGAACUGUAUGCA